This 468-nucleotide ribosomal RNA is filed under the name uncultured bacterium. RNAcentral's name for it is "partial 16S ribosomal RNA". It matches the Rfam family "Bacterial small subunit ribosomal RNA", at positions 28 to 507 of the family's 1533-position model. The record is from RNAcentral.
GACGAACGCUGGCGGCGUGCUUAACACAUGCAAGUCGAACGGAAAGGCCCUGCUUUUGUGGGGUGCUCGAGUGGCGAACGGGUGAGUAACACGUGAGUAACCUGCCCUUGACUUUGGGAUAACUUCAGGAAACUGGGGCUAAUACCGGAUAGGAGCUCCUGCUGCAUGGUGGGGGUUGGAAAGUUUCGGCGGUUGGGGAUGGACUCGCGGCUUAUCAGCUUGUUGGUGGGGUAGUGGCUUACCAAGGCUUGGACGGGUAGCCGGCCUGAGAGGGGGACCGGCCACAUCGGGCCUGAGAUACGGCCCAGACUCGUACGGGAGGCAGCAGUGGAGAAUAUUGCACAGUGGGCGGAAGCCAGAUGCAGCAACGCCGCGUGCGGGAUGACGGCCUUCGGGUUGUAAACCGCUGUCGCCUGUGACGAAGCGUGAGUGACGGUAAUGGGUAAAGAAGCACCGGCUAACUACGUG